UAAAGCGUGCGCAGGCGGUUUUGUAAGACUGUCGUGAAAUCCCCGGGCUCAACCUGGGAAUGGCGAUGGUGACUGCAAGGCUAGAGUUUGGCAGAGGGGGUAGAAUUCCACGUGUAGCAGUGAAAUGCGUAGAUAUGUGGAGGAACACCGAUGGCGAAGGCAGCCCCCUGGGUCAAAACUGACGCUCAUGCACGAAAGCGUGGGGAGCAAACAGGAUUAGAUACCCUAGU
Molecule: ribosomal RNA, 230 nt
Filed under: uncultured bacterium
Lineage: Bacteria
Description: partial 16S ribosomal RNA
Rfam family: Bacterial small subunit ribosomal RNA
Source: RNAcentral